CACGUAGGGGGCGAGCGUUGUCCGGAAUCAUUGGGCGUAAAGAGCUCGUAGGCGGCUCAGUAAGUCGGGUGUGAAACCCCCAGGCUCAACCUGGGGACGCCACUCGAUACUGCUGUGGCUAGAGUCCAGUAGAGGAGUGUGGAAUUCCUGGUGUAGCGGUGAAAUGCGCAGAUAUCAGGAGGAACACCGGUGGCGAAGGCGGGUCUCUGGGCCGAAAUUGACGCUGAGGAGCGAAAGCGUGGGGAGCAAACAGG
RNAcentral lists this ribosomal RNA (254 nucleotides) under uncultured bacterium. RNAcentral's name for it is "partial 16S ribosomal RNA". It matches the Rfam family "Bacterial small subunit ribosomal RNA", at positions 524 to 776 of the family's 1533-position model. The record is from RNAcentral.